Molecule: non-coding RNA, 103 nt
Filed under: Mariniradius saccharolyticus AK6
Lineage: Bacteria; Pseudomonadati; Bacteroidota; Cytophagia; Cytophagales; Cyclobacteriaceae
Also listed under: 1 other name
Description: SAM riboswitch aptamer (S box leader)
Rfam family: SAM riboswitch aptamer (S box leader)
About the family: The SAM riboswitch is found upstream of a number of genes which code for proteins involved in methionine or cysteine biosynthesis in Gram-positive bacteria.
Source: Rfam by way of RNAcentral
GAUUUAUAAAGAAGAGGCGAGAGAACAGGCUCGAUGACCCUCUGGCAACCAUUCAAAAACUAUGAAAAGGUGCCAAAACCUGCCCAUUUGGGAACUAUAAAUU